UCAAGCGCAGUAAGGGCAUGCGAAGGAUGCCUAGGUAUCGAGAAGCGACGAAAGACGUGUUAGGCUGCGAAAAGCCUCGGGGAGCUGCCAAAUGAGCUUUGAUCCGGGGAUGUCUGAAUGGGGCAACCCACUCCGUCAGGAGUACGGGAAGGUGAAUACAUAGCCUUCUGCGAGCGAACUCGGGGAACUGAACCAUCUUAGUACCCGAAGGAAAAGAAAACAAAAAAGUGAUUCCGAAAGUAGCGGCGAGCGAAAUUGGAACAGCCCAAACCAGUCUUCGCAAGAGGGCUGGGGUUGUGGGACGUGCAUUUAGGAAGCGAACGGUAGCUGAAUGGGCUGGAAGGCCUGUCCACAGAGAGUGAAAGACUCGUAAGCGAAACCAAUCGUUCUGAGCGCGUAUCCCGAGUAGCACAGGGCACGUGAAACCCGGUGUGAAUCCGGCAGGACCAUCUGCCAAGGCUAAAUAUUCCUCGAUGACCGAUAGUGAACCAGUACCGUGAGGGAAAGGUGAAAAGAACCCCGGUGAGGGGAGUGAAAGAGAACCUGAAAUCGCAUGCCUACAAGCAGUUGGAGCACCCUCGUGGUGUGACAGCGUACCUUUUGCAUAAUGAGUCCGCGAGUUAUUUUCUGCAGCGAGGCUAAGGUGCACAAGCACUGGAGCCGUAGGGAAACCGAGUCUGAAUAAGGCGUUUUAGUUGCAGGGAAUAGACCCGAAGCCACGUGAUCUACCCAUGGCCAGGUUGAAGGGGAGGUAAAACUUCCUGGAGGACCGAACUGGUGCCUGUUGAAAAAGGCUCGGAUGAGCUGUGGGUAGGGGUGAAAGGCUAAUCAAACGUGGCGAUAGCUGGUUCUCCCCGAAACAUAUUUAGGUAUGGCGUCGGAUGUUUCUUUAAGGGGGUAGAGCACUGAAUGAGCUAGGGGCCUUACCGGGUUACCAAACUCAAUCAAACUCCGAAUACCUUAAAGUGAAGUCCGGCAGACAGUUUGCGAGCGAGAAGGUUCGUAAGCGAGAGGGAAAGAUCCCAGACCGACCGCUAAGGUCCCCAAGACUGUGCUCAGUGGAGAAGGAUGUGGAAACGUUAAAACAGCUAGGAUGUUGGCUUAGAAGCAGCCAUCAUUUAAAGAAAGCGUAAUAGCUCACUAGUCUAAUGGGUCCGCGCCGAAGAUGUAACGGGGCUUAAGCACAGCACCGAAGCGCCGGCAGAAGAAAUUCUGGGUAGGGGAGCAUUGUAUUGACCGUCGAAGAUGCAUCGUGAGGUGUGUUGGAGGAGAUACAAGAGCAUAUGCGGACAUGAGUAGCGUAAGACGGGUGAGAACCCCGUCCGCCGUAAGCCCAAGGAUUCCUGAGAGUGGUCAAUCCCCUCAGGGUAAGUCGAAACCUAAGGUGAGGCCCAAGGGCGUAACCGAUGGCAAGCAGGUUAAUAUUCCUGCACCAGAUGUGUGGAGCGACGCAGGGGUGGAGAAGGAGAGUGAGAGCCGGUGAUUGGAUUCCGGUUUAAGGCUGUAGGUAGGUGGCGUACAGAAAUGGCGUUACCUUAGCUGAGAGCUGAUGACGUAAGUCUCAUGGUUCCAUGCUCACAAGAAAAGCUGCUAAGUGAUGAAGCACGUUUGUUCGUACCGCAAACCGACACAGGUGGGCUGGUAGAGUAUACCAAGGCGUUUGAGAGAUCCCAGGCGAAGGAACUCUGCAAUUUACUACCGUAACUUCGGGAUAAGGUAGGCUCGUUAGCGUGAUUGCCCUCGCGGCAUUAAGCGCAGACGAGUAGCAUAGAAUAGGGACUAGCGACUGUUUACCAAAAACACAGGACUCUGCGAAAUCGCAAGAUGACGUAUAGGGUCUGACGCCUGCCCGGUGCUGGAAGGUUAAAAGGAGGAGUUAGUCGCAAGGCGAAGCUUCGAAUUGAAGCCCCAGUAAACGGCGGCCGUAACUAUAACGGUCCUAAGGUAGCGAAAUUCCUUGUCGGGUAAGUUCCGACCUGCACGAAUGGCGUAACGACUGGUCCGCUGUCUCCGCCUGGCACUCAGCGAAAUUGAAUAGGGGGUGAAAAUGCCCCCCACCCGCGACAGGACGGAAAGACCCCGUGAACCUUUACUGCAACUUGGCAUUGGGUUCUUGGAUUAGCUGUGUAGGAUAGGUGGGAGACUGAGAAGCUGUGGCGCUAGCUGCGGCAGAGUCGUCGUUGAAAUACCACCCUGCUAAUCUGAGAAUUCUAACCUCGGCCCAUUAUCUGGGUCAGGAACAGUGUCUGGUGGGCAGUUUGACUGGGGCGGUCGCCUCCCAAAGAGUAACGGAGGCGCGCGAAGGUAACCUCAGGCCGGAUAGAAACCGGCUGUCGAGCGUAAGGGCAGAAGGUUGCCUCACUGAGAGAUCGACAGAUCGAACAGACACGAAAGUGGGUCCUAGUGAUCCGGUGGUUCCGCAUGGAAGGGCCAUCGCUCAACGGAUAAAAGGUACUCCGGGGAUAACAGGCUGAUCUUAUCCAAGAGUUCACAUCGACGAUAAGGUUUGGCACCUCGAUGUCGGCUCAUCACAUCCUGGGGCUGGAGCAGGUCCCAAGGGUUUGGCUGUUCGCCAAUUAAAGUGGUACGCGAGCUGGGUUCAGAACGUCGUGAGACAGUUCGGUCCCUAUCCGUCGUGGGCGUUGAGAAGUUGAGAGAAUUUGACCUUAGUACGAGAGGACCGGGUUGAACGAACCUCUGGUGGAUCGGUUGUCGUGCCAACGGCACAGCCGAGUAGCUAUGUUUGGACGGGAUAAACGCUGAAAGCAUCUAAGCGUGAAACCCAUCUCGAGAUGAACUUCUCCGGGAGCAAUCCCAAAGAGCACUUGAAGACUACAAGUUUGAUAGGGUGGGUGUGUAAGCGCUGCGAGGCGUUGAGCUAACCACUACUAAUCGCUCUUCGUGCUUGAAAUU
RNAcentral lists this ribosomal RNA (2913 nucleotides) under freshwater metagenome. RNAcentral's name for it is "bacterial LSU rRNA". It matches the Rfam family "Bacterial large subunit ribosomal RNA". The record is from RNAcentral.